This 570-nucleotide long non-coding RNA is filed under the name Aedes aegypti (yellow fever mosquito). RNAcentral's name for it is "lncRNA AAEL026187". Lineage: Eukaryota; Metazoa; Arthropoda; Insecta; Diptera; Culicidae. The record is from RNAcentral.
ACAGUGUUCAAAGCAGAGUGAAUCUGGAGCAGUUCAGAGUAACUCUGAGCAACUCUGAGGAAUUUGCGAUUCGAAAUUCCCACCCUUGAAUCAUCUUGAUUUUGGCAAAGCGGUUAAAAAAAAAGAAUAACAAACCAAACUCAGUUUGACAUAUCAAAACAGCGAUAAAUAAUGAAGAUGAAAAGUUUUGAAGUAAUUACUGAUUGUAAAGAAAAAUUUCUUAGCCGCAUAUAGCAAUGGAUUUAGUGUGAAAAACAUGCUAUUUGCAACUAUCAAACGGUUAUCCUGCCGCAUCUACGCCUACGCGGUGACAAGCCGGAAGAUUAAAUCCAGCAAGGACAAUAUUCGCCCGAGAAAGACACAAGACCGAUCGUCAUGAAGGACAAAACUGAAAGUGAAAUGAAUGUCCAGUGCUGGGAAGAAAAAUGUCUGUUCGAAGGCGAAUGAGGCCGUUCACAAUCCGGGCUAGAAGCAGGAACUACUUCCUGUCGGAGACUCAAUUCAGUUUCGAUGUCGAGUCUGUAUUUGAAUAUUCCGUAUUCAUACCGAGAAUAAAACGUAAAUUGAAAC